This 497-nucleotide ribosomal RNA is filed under the name uncultured bacterium. RNAcentral's name for it is "partial 16S ribosomal RNA". It matches the Rfam family "Bacterial small subunit ribosomal RNA", at positions 28 to 507 of the family's 1533-position model. The record is from RNAcentral.
GAUGAACGCUGGCGGCGUGCCUAAUACAUGCAAGUCGAGCGAACAGACGAGGAGCUUGCUCCUCUGACGUUAGCGGCGGACGGGUGAGUAACACGUGGAUAACCUACCUAUAAGACUGGGAUAACUUCGGGAAACCGGAGCUAAUACCGGAUAAUAUAUUGAACCGCAUGGUUCAAUAGUGAAAGACGGUUUUGCUGUCACUUAUAGAUGUAUCCGCGCCGCAUUAGCUAGUUGGUAAGGUAACGGCUUACCAAGGCAACGAUGCGUAGCCGACCUGAGAGGGUGAUCGGCCACACUGGAACUGAGACACGGUCCAGACUCCUACGGGAGGCAGCAGUAGGGAAUCUUACGCAAUGGGCGAAAGCUUGACGGAGCAACGCCGCGUGAGUGAUGAAGGUCUUCGGAUCGUAAAACUCUGUUAUUAGGGAAGAACAAAUGUGUAAGUAACUAUGCACGUCUUGACGGUACCUAAUCAGAAAGCCACGGCUAACUACGUG